Molecule: ribosomal RNA, 287 nt
Filed under: uncultured bacterium
Lineage: Bacteria
Description: partial 16S ribosomal RNA
Rfam family: Bacterial small subunit ribosomal RNA
Source: RNAcentral
AUGAGCAUGCGUCCCAUUAGCUAGAUGGUAAGGUAACGGCUUACCAUGGGCUACGAUGGGUAGGGGUCCUGAGAGGGAGAUCCCCCACACUGGUACUGAGACACGGACCAGACUCCUACGGGAGGCAGCAGUGAGGAAUAUUGGACAAUGGGCGCAAGCCUGAUCCAGCCAUGCCGCGUGCAGGAUGACGGUCCUAUGGAUUGUAAACUGCUUUUUAUACGGGAAGAAACACUCCGACGUGUCGGAGCUUGACGGUACUGUAAGAAUAAGGAUCGGCUAACUCCGUG